Salvelinus fontinalis (brook trout) is the source of this 3043-nucleotide long non-coding RNA. RefSeq lists it as uncharacterized. The record is from RefSeq and is a predicted model, not a curated record. The transcript is spliced from 3 exons. Lineage: Eukaryota; Metazoa; Chordata; Actinopteri; Salmoniformes; Salmonidae.
CUGUCACUCCACUGUCCCUGUGUCUGCCCCUACCACCAUUAUGAUGUCAGAGAGCAUUGAGUCCAGCUGUCUGGAUGUCCCUUCUCCGGAGAGGGCAGUGGGCAGGUCCUCCCCUCAGAGAGGAAGAGGAAGAUGGAUUGGGGGCUGAGGCCCAGGGUGUAAAGGAGGAGGGCGCAUCUGAUGAGACGGAGGCACUGUACAUCAAUCUAAAGCAGGACAGAGUAUCGCCAACGGGAGAACUGACGAGGGACUUCAGAGGGUCAUUCAUUCGAUGCUGCAAAAAUGACAAAGUCAAUGAGAGGCUGCAUCUGGUCAGGACCCUCAACAGCUCUUUAUCGGCAAAAUAAGCCGACCUGUUGGCUAUAGAACACGUGCUGGCCAUGGUCACUGCACGGAGGGAUUGUCAGUGGAGGGUUGGCAACUGUUGCUACUGCAGGAGAUCAUUCACCACAAGAAAAACCCACCAGGUGGCAGCAGAGAGCUGUCUUUCCCUUUCAGAGCACAUUGGAGGGAUCAGGGUCCGUAUGUAUCAACCAAGCACGAGUGCUUUUAUGGCCAGGGACCUGAUCCUAGAUCAGCACCCCUACUCUGAGACGCUUUGUGAACACAGCCCAGAUGCUUUUCUUCAGGCAGAUGCAAAGAUACAGUAGCUUAUUUAAAAUACAGACAUAUAGUUGAAGGUGAGAAAAAAUUAAGUUGUAUUCAUCUUAUUGAGGAUAUUCCUGAAAAUUUGCUUUGAGUAUUCCUAGGCUUUCUUGUAAAAAUGGUUAUACAUGUUUGAUUCAAUGUUAUGAUUUUAAGAACGUAUUUUGAUAUGCGGUGCCACGCAGAGAUUAUGGGGAUAUGAUGCUCCGUGCUAAUAACAGGGCAUAUUUAUUCAGUCUGAUAUUGGACUAACUCACAAAUUAGUUUUCUAGAUAACAGGGUCCAUAAAGUACACCAUGAAUUGUUAUACUAUUUUUUUCCCACUGUUGUUACACUGAAAUAAGGGCUGUUUAUUCAAGGUACAGCCACACCUAUUUAAGUACACACCUAGUUCAAUUACUGUCGUAUAACAUCACUGUGUAAUAAAGGAAGCAGUGGCCUAAGCUAAUGUUAUCUAGACAAUAUUUUUUAUUUAACUAGGCAUGUCAGUUAAGAACAAAUUCUUAUUUACAAUGACGGCCUAGGAACAGUGGGUUAACUGCCUUGUUCAGGGGCAGAACGACAUAUUUUUACCUUGUCAGCUCAGGGAUUCGAUCUAGCAACCUUUCGGUUACUUGCCCAAUGCUCUAACCACUAGGCUACCCGCCGCCCCGUAAAGAAAUGACUGAGAAUUAGCAUUCAUAUUUAAUACUGUAUAUAUUUGAUCAUUUUAACGUUGUAAAUGUUUUGUACAUUGUGUAUGGGUUUUGUGGAAGUAACUUGUACUGUUUACAUUUUGUAUCAACCUGACAAGAAUAUGCAGUACAAAACAAAAGUCAGAGCUUUUGAAAUGACGUAUUGACUUAUCUGUAGGCCACAUGGCUCCAAAUAGGAUACUGUUGGCACCCAUUAGACCUGCUGGUAUUUCCAUACAGAAGCAUUCACACACUGAAGUUAGUAUUAAAGCAUGCCAUCUGGGGUAACCAUAAAAUGUUCUAUGUACUGUAAAGAAACUGCAUAGAAAUGCCGAAACCUCAAAGUUCUGUGAAGGAAGUUGACAGAAAGUAGCCUGGAAGAUGCAGAUGAUAUCUUAGCCAUCUGUUGCUGGCCCUUUGUGUCAAAGCACAAAGAAGGAGACUUUGCUGGCUGCCCUCCCUGUCAACCUCACCGCUCUAACGCCAACUCAUUUGAAUGAGAAUGAACGGGGGUGUUAUUUUCGUCUUUCUCCAUUAGAGGUGUUAUGCCUGAUGGAGGGCCUGUCAAUCCAAACCAGUCACACCUCGCUGUAGUCCUCGGGGUAGGUAGAGGGAACUCACCUUGCAACUUUAAUAAGGUGAACAGACUUUAAAUGUGUUUACCAGGAUGUUAUCCUAUCUGACUCCCCCUCAGGGCGAACACACUAGAUAUGUACCGGUAACUGGGGUCAGACGGAAGGCAAGGCAACAGAGAGGGAAGCCUGCUGCAGUAGACGUUUUUGGCUGGCUACUUAAUACAACACCGCCGUGUGCUUAUUAUGUUUGAUGACGAGGCUCUUUUCAAACUGACUACUGUACAUUGGAGUGGUUGCGUGGGUCUUGGGUACUGUACAUUUGUAUGAGCUUGAGCUGUGAAUUCAAAUCGGGACAUUCUGGAGACGUGACAUCUAAAUGGACAACAGAGAACGAGACUUAAUAAACACCAAGAGACAAAAUGGCAAACCAUUUCAGAGGGCAAGUUUUCAACAAACAUGUUUAGAGAAACAAACCACGUCUCCGUCCGCAGUUUUUACUCGUAGAAUCAUACCGUCUAAAAAGAAAAUCACGACAGCUGUGAGGGGAACGAAUAGUUUCUGAACAAUUGUAUAAACGCCAACAGAUCACUUGUUUGUUUUUGUGUCGGUAAAAUUAAUUAUGCAAGAAAGAGUGGUGGAAACUCCUUUAUGCGCAAAUAUUCAUAUAAUAACCAUGUUAUCGAAAUAAACUUGGAUUCACACGAUGAUAUGGUGUGUGGUCCUCCCACUAUGACUCGGGAAACCACAGAGUUUAUUAGGCUACGGUGAAAUGAUGAUGAACUUCACAGGGUGGCGAAAGUGCACGGUGAAUCCUUUCCAAGAAAAUAUCCAGGGUCUUAUUCUGGUGACAUGAUGAUUGAUGCUUGACUGCCAUUUGACAAAUAAACAUAUUCUCGCAAUUAUCAAUAAUAAUCUCAUGUAGACUAGCCUACCAGCACAGCCUACUGCACCGGAGUCCUAUCUGUGAGCUGUUGGCUAGCGCACGUGUGCCAAUACCAGUGCAAGCACAUUUGCUAUUGUUGGGGCCAGAGGAGUUAACACAGCCUAUUCACAUCCAACUAUGGCACAGUUGCUUACAACUGUUAAAUGCAGUGGAGGCUGGUGGGAGGAGCUAUAGGAGGACGGGCUCAUUGUAAUGGCUGGAAUGGA